This is a long non-coding RNA of Acanthochromis polyacanthus (spiny chromis), 365 nucleotides long. RefSeq lists it as uncharacterized. The transcript has 2 exons. NCBI's taxonomy places the organism in Eukaryota, Metazoa, Chordata, Actinopteri, Pomacentridae. The record is from RefSeq and is a predicted model, not a curated record.
CUUGAAAUUGGAGUUACACUCAGUUCACUGCUGUGAUUUUAUGGGCUGUUGUUUAGAAGGCUGAACCAUGUUCUCUGGGAUCCUUGUGGUGGUGUUGCUGGUCCUCCUCAUGUGUAGACGGGUGCUAUGGCAAGCUUUAUGCAUCCUUCUUCAUCACAUAUUGUUCAAGAGAUCUGCAAGGACUGGAAGAGUUAACCGUAAAAGACAGCCUGGACAGAAAACAUAUGAAUAAUAAAUAUGAACUAAUAUUUUUAGCUAAAAUAAUUUUUAUUAAUUUCUUUGUUACAUGUUCUGCUUUUGUAUGUCAAAAAGACAUGAACCUGUUGAUUACAUGCCAACAGAUUAAAGACUCAUCCAGAGUGCUA